CUUCCUCGAUCUGCUGCGGGCUGAUGAAGUGUAUGUGCGUAUCGAUGCCGCCCGCCGUCACGAUCAGGCCUUCGCCGGCGAUCACUUCGGUCGACGCGCCGAUCGCAAUCGUCACAUUCGGCUGGAUGUCCGGAUUGCCGGCCUUGCCGAUCGCGGCGAUGCGGCCGUCCUUGAUGCCGAUGUCGGCCUUCACGAUGCCCCAAUGGUCAAGGAUCACCGCGUUCGUCACGACCGUAUCGACGACCUCGGCAUGCACCCGCUGCGACUGGCCCAUGCCGUCGCGAAU
Molecule: small RNA, 286 nt
Filed under: Paraburkholderia ribeironis
Lineage: Bacteria; Pseudomonadati; Pseudomonadota; Betaproteobacteria; Burkholderiales; Burkholderiaceae
Description: 5' ureB small RNA
Rfam family: 5' ureB small RNA
Source: Rfam by way of RNAcentral